This 23-nucleotide non-coding RNA is filed under the name Arabidopsis thaliana (thale cress). The record is from RNAcentral. Lineage: Eukaryota; Viridiplantae; Streptophyta; Magnoliopsida; Brassicales; Brassicaceae.
UCUGGGAUUAAUAAUGAGGCCCA